AUCCAGAUGACGAGUCCCAAAUAGGACGAAAUGCAGACCCUCGUGGAU
This 48-nucleotide non-coding RNA is filed under the name Trichobilharzia regenti. Lineage: Eukaryota; Metazoa; Platyhelminthes; Trematoda; Strigeidida; Schistosomatidae. The record is from RNAcentral.